Molecule: small nuclear RNA, 121 nt
Filed under: Spermophilus dauricus (Daurian ground squirrel)
Lineage: Eukaryota; Metazoa; Chordata; Mammalia; Rodentia; Sciuridae
Description: U4 spliceosomal RNA (ENSSDAG00000023434.1)
Rfam family: U4 spliceosomal RNA (bases 1-75)
About the family: U4 small nuclear RNA (U4 snRNA) is a component of the major U2-dependent spliceosome. The structure of U4 snRNA from yeast and human has been reported. U4 snRNA presents a k-turn RNA motif in the 5p-SL related to recognition of Snu13 protein.
Source: RNAcentral
AGCUUUGCGCAGUGGCAGUAUCGUAGCCAAUGAGGUUUAUCCGAGGCGCGAUUAUUGCUAAUUGAAACCUUUAUGGAGUCAUUAUCCUCUGUAACUUCUAAGCUUGUUCAUCCUGAUAACU